GAUAAUCAGACUCGAACAGAUCGAGGUUAAAACUAAAGGAGGAAAAAGCCGAGAUCCAAAAUCUUAAAAAAAUCACGUGCCAAAUUGAGGGAGGAACACACAAGACACACAAAAAAGAACUCACAAAACUCAAGGACAACUUUAUCUAAUUUUUCACGCGCGAAGCGAAAAGCAAAACAAAACAAAUCA
Molecule: non-coding RNA, 189 nt
Filed under: Protocruzia adhaerens
Lineage: Eukaryota; Ciliophora; Spirotrichea
Source: RNAcentral